UGUCCCCUGCGGUGUUCGAGCUGGCCAUACAUUCUUUGAACCAAUGCUAACUUAGCGAGGUUGCCGUGCUUUCAACGGGCCGGUGUGCGCUCCCUACGCGGAAGCGCCUGAUGGCCCUGGCAGGCGACCCUCUUGAACUGCGGUUCAAGAUGAGGUUGGCACGGCACAGGCGGGGGACUC
RNAcentral lists this non-coding RNA (180 nucleotides) under Burkholderiales bacterium. Its description in RNAcentral is "6S RNA". It matches the Rfam family "6S / SsrS RNA". From Rfam's summary of the family: E. coli 6S RNA was the first non coding RNA to be sequenced, but its function was unknown until recently. The record is from RNAcentral. Lineage: Bacteria; Pseudomonadati; Pseudomonadota; Betaproteobacteria; Burkholderiales. RNAcentral also lists the same sequence under 2 other names.